RNAcentral lists this long non-coding RNA (311 nucleotides) under Cricetulus griseus (Chinese hamster). RNAcentral's name for it is "lncRNA (ENSCGRG00015033528.1)". Lineage: Eukaryota; Metazoa; Chordata; Mammalia; Rodentia; Cricetidae. The record is from RNAcentral.
AGAAAAAUGUAACCCUGCUCCUCAUGGUUAACACGGAUUGUUUCUUUCUCAGCUUUUAAUCUGGUCACUGGAAGGGGAUUUUAUAGUCCUUGAAAAAGAGGAGUGAUAAUUUACAUCAAGAGAGAAAUGUGGAAUUUGAAGGGCUUUAGCUUUCAGAGGAGCAAUUCAAGUGGCAAGAAGCCAGUCGUGAGGGAGCUAUCUGUGGGGAAAGCUGCACCCCAACAUGGAAAGGAGACCCCAGGUGCAGAAAACAGAACAUAGGUGAGCCCGCACAUCCACCAGGGCUUCUAAUUCAGCAAAACUUCUCCCAG